AAACUGAAAGAAACUUGAGCACCACUUCCUACUUUUUAAUUUAUUGUUUUGUUUUUCACAUUUUAAGACCAAAUCUGAACACUCAGAUUCAAAUCUAAAAUGUUCUUAUUUUCCUUUAAUUAUCUACCACUUUUAGACUUUAUUUAGCUCCAUUCGCAUGACUGAAAGAUAUCUCAUAAAUGACCGAUUUUUCAUUUUAUACCAAAAAUGUAACACGUGUCCAUGUGUGGAAAUAACCCAUGACUCAUUGCUUCUGUUGCCACAGGUGUUUUCACAGGCAGCAGGAAAGAUAAACACAAGGAUGUUCGGGAUAGAGUGACAUCUCCAGUGCUGAUGUCUUUCGCGAGUUUUCUGUCCUCGCGUCUCUCCAGCCCGAGAAGCUGAGGAGAAGAAGCAUACAGUUCAGCCAGAAGCUGUAGUGACCGACAGACCACCGCUUCGAUUCCCAUUCUUUAGUCAAUAUGUGUUAAAAUAGAAGCAGUUGAACUGAAUGUUUCAUAUUACUUACAUUGCUUGACUCCUGUUUUUUCUAGUAAGGUAGCUCAUAAUACAUGGCUAAAUAUUUAAAGGACAAUAAAUCUAGCUUCUGCACAGUACUCUGCACUCUCAGUAUAUGGAAUUGAAUCUCUAUAAUCUUUGGCAUCUCACUUCCAAUGUUAAUUUAUUUUUUGUCUCUGUUUUGCAAAUGAAUUCGCACACUAAAGAAAUGGGUGUGGAUGUUUUUCUUUUGUUGUCAGCAAUGAGUUAAGCUCGUGCUCAAACGUGAUGAGAAAUGACUGUUGUCUCGUAUACUUUAAAGAAAAACAAUGGUGAAGGAAGCCAUGAGGUUUCAGCUUUGCAUUUUUUCUCGAUGAGAUUGAGUCUGGGUGUUGGUCAUGCCAAAAUCUCAAGGUCAUCCCAAUGAAUUGGAAUAAUAUAAAAAAAGUUUAUUUAAUUCAAAAAGGUGAAAUGAUGAUGAUGAUGAUGAUGAUGA
Molecule: non-coding RNA, 973 nt
Organism: Poecilia reticulata (guppy)
Lineage: Eukaryota; Metazoa; Chordata; Actinopteri; Cyprinodontiformes; Poeciliidae
Source: RefSeq, a predicted model, not a curated record